CAGACCUAACGGUGUGGGAUUAUCAAACCCUGAUUACAGACCUAACGGUGUGGGAUUAUCUAACCCUAACCCUGAUUACAGACCUAACGGUGUGGGAUUAUCUAACCCUAACCCUGAUUACAGACCUAAUGGUGUGGGAUUAUCUAACCCUGAUUACAGACCUAACACUAACAGACACUCUGUUUCUCUUUGUUCUCACAUGGAUUCUAAAUAUGUCUCCAAUGUUGUUCAUUGGAUCUGAUAUUAUGUGUGGACAGAUUCCAGGUUAGACACAGUGGUAGUCUUUGGUCUGAUAUCAUGUGUUGACAGAUUCCAGGUUAGACACAGUGGUAGUCUUUGGUCUGAUAUCAUGUGUUGACAGAUUCCAGGUUAGACACAGUGGUAGUCUUUGGUCUGAUAUCAUGUGUUGACAGAUUCCAGGUUAGACACAGUGGUAGUCUUUGGUCUGAUAUCAUGUGUUGACAGAUUCCAGGUUAGACACAGUGGUAGUCUUUGGUCUGAUAUCAUGUGUUGACAGAUUCCAGGUUAGACACAGUGGUAGUCUUUGGUCUGAUAUCAUGUGUUGACAGAUUCCAGGUUAGACACAGUGGUAGUCUUUGGUCUGAUAUCAUGUGUUGACAGAUUCCAGGUUAGACACAGUGGUAGUCUUUGGUCUGAUAUCAUGUGUUGACAGAUUCCAGGUUAGACACAGUGGUAGUCUUUGGUCUGAUAUCAUGUGUUGACAGAUUCCAGGUUAGACACAGUGGUAGUCUUUGGUCUGAUAUCAUGUGUUGACAGAUUCCAGGUUAGACACAGUGGUAGUCUUUGGUCUGAUAUCAUGUGUUGACAGAUUCCAGGUUAGACACAGUGGUAGUCUUUGGUCUGAUAUCAUGUGUUGACAGAUUCCAGGUUAGACACAGUGGUAGUCUUUGGUCUGAUAUCAUGUGUUGACAGAUUCCAGGUUAGACACAGUGGUAGUCUUUGGUCUGAUAUCAUGUGUUGACAGAUUCCAGGUUAGACACAGUGGUAGUCUUUGGUCUGAUAUCAUGUGUUGACAGAUUCCAGGUUAGACACAGUGGUAGUCUUUGGUCUGAUAUCAUGUGUUGACAGAUUCCAGGUUAGACACAGUGGUAGUCUUUGGUCUGAUAUCAUGUGUUGACAGAUUCCAGGUUAGACACAGUGGUAGUCUUUGGUCUGAUAUCAUGUGUUGACAGAUUCCAGGUUAGACACAGUGGUAGUCUUUGGUCUGAUAUCAUGUGUGUUGACAGAUUCCAGGUUAGACACAGUGGUAGUCUUUGGUUUGAUAUCAUAUGUGUUGACAGAUCACAGGUUAGACACAGUGGUAGUCUUUGGUCUGAUAUCAUGUGUGUUGACAGAUCACAGGUUAGACACAGUGGUAGUCUUUGGUCUUAUAUCAUGUGUGUUGACAGAUUCCAGGUUAGACACAGUGGUAGUCUUUGGUCUGAUAUCAUAUGUGUUGACAGAUCACAGGUUAGACACAGUGGUAGUCUUUGGUCUGAUAUCAUGUGU
Molecule: long non-coding RNA, 1509 nt
Organism: Oncorhynchus keta (chum salmon)
Lineage: Eukaryota; Metazoa; Chordata; Actinopteri; Salmoniformes; Salmonidae
Exons: 5
Source: RefSeq, a predicted model, not a curated record